GCUUUAGCUCAGCUGGGAGAGCGCCUGCUUUGCACGCAGGAGGUCAGGAGUUGAUCUUUGAAAAGUA
This 67-nucleotide transfer RNA is filed under the name Tenericutes bacterium GWC2_39_45. RNAcentral describes it as "tRNA-Ala". The record is from RNAcentral. Lineage: Bacteria; Bacillati; Mycoplasmatota.